GGGGAGUCCGUCGGGUCAUGAUGGCGACUGCCACGCACCAUGUAUGGAGCAACUACAGCCUUCAAGUAAAGAAGGGGAAGAAGCCUCUCAAGAAAAUGACAUUAUACAAUUUCAUAUUACGGGCAGUUAUGGCCUCCAGGCCGAAAGAUACCAUGUUGGAUGUGGCUGUCCAGGUGCAGGAGACAUUGAAGCAUGCCCCUGCCCGAUGUAAAAAGAUGGGGAUCUUUAACCAACUUCAAUCCAUAAAUGUUGCCGGACUCCAUCCUUGAUUUUGGGACAGUGAAAAAGCACUAAAGUUGUUUAUGGAUCUGCUGCUCCUAAGUAAUUAGAAUGGGUUGUAUGUAGA
Molecule: long non-coding RNA, 346 nt
Organism: Anguilla anguilla (European eel)
Lineage: Eukaryota; Metazoa; Chordata; Actinopteri; Anguilliformes; Anguillidae
Exons: 3
Source: RefSeq, a predicted model, not a curated record